GCCUUCUUGGUUCAGUUGGUUAGAGCGCUGGUCUCACCCGACUGUAUGAGUAGUUAUAUAGCUAUGCAAUCCAGAGGUCACAAGUUCGAACCUUGUAGGGGGCA
Macrolepiota fuliginosa MF-IS2 is the source of this 104-nucleotide non-coding RNA. Lineage: Eukaryota; Fungi; Basidiomycota; Agaricomycetes; Agaricales; Agaricaceae. The record is from the annotation of a GenBank genome assembly.